Molecule: long non-coding RNA, 133 nt
Organism: Portunus trituberculatus (swimming crab)
Lineage: Eukaryota; Metazoa; Arthropoda; Malacostraca; Decapoda; Portunidae
Exons: 2
Source: RefSeq, a predicted model, not a curated record
UGAAAGAGGAGCGCACUGAGCAUGGGAAUCUUCGCUCAACUUUAGAGGCGAUUUUCUCGAAUGGGCUGUUGCAUCACACUUACAUGUAGUAUUAGGCCAAUUUGUGAUAUUCAAAAUAAAUUAGUUUAAUUAA